This is a non-coding RNA of Nothobranchius furzeri (turquoise killifish), 546 nucleotides long. The record is from the annotation of a RefSeq genome assembly. NCBI's taxonomy places the organism in Eukaryota, Metazoa, Chordata, Actinopteri, Cyprinodontiformes, Nothobranchiidae.
ACUGGUGAGUUUGUUUGUGUCAGACUCACAGAGCCGUGUCUCUCAGAGGUUUUUGUACGACGACUCGACCAGUUUGUAUCACUGUGGUACACGUUUGGUGGAGGAACCAGACUGGAGUUUGGAAGUGAUACCCGUCCCAUCCUGACGGUGCUGCCUCCCUCCAGUGAGGAGCUGCAGCAGGGGAAGGCCACACUCAUGUGUCUGGCCAACAAGGGCUUCCCCUCAGACUGGAGUCUGUCCUGGAAGGUGGACGGCAGCAGCAGCAGCUGGGAGGAGGACAGGAGCCCCGUGGUGAUGAAGGACGGCCUCUACAGCUGGAGCAGCACCCUGAGGCUCACUGCAGACCAGUGGAGGAAGGUGGGCUCUGUGACCUGUGAGGCCACCCAGGGCUCCCAGUCUCCAGUCUCAGAGUCACUCAGGAGAGACCAGUGUUCCCAGUACUGAUGGGACUCACUGUGAUGCUGGUUUUACUUUGCUAAUUCUUUCAGUUUGAUUCAUGUGGUUUUUCACCUGCUUAAAUAAAGCUUGUUUUAUAAGAAUUAAACU